This 253-nucleotide ribosomal RNA is filed under the name uncultured bacterium. RNAcentral's name for it is "partial 16S ribosomal RNA". It matches the Rfam family "Bacterial small subunit ribosomal RNA", at positions 524 to 776 of the family's 1533-position model. The record is from RNAcentral.
UACGUAGGGGGCAAGCGUUGUCCGGAUUUAUUGGGCGUAAAGGGCGUGCAGGCGGUCUUGUCAGUUUCAAGUUCCAGGUGGGGGCUUAACUCCCACAGGCCUUGGAAAACUGCAAGACUUGAGGACUUCAGAGGGAUGCGGAAUUCCAGGUGGAGCGGUGAAAUGCGUAGAGAUCUGGAAGAACACCAAAGGCGAAGGCAGCAUCCUGGGAAGAACCUGACGCUGAGGCGCGAAAGCUAGGGGAGCGAACGGG